This 526-nucleotide ribosomal RNA is filed under the name uncultured bacterium. RNAcentral describes it as "bacterial SSU rRNA". It matches the Rfam family "Bacterial small subunit ribosomal RNA", at positions 355 to 896 of the family's 1533-position model. The record is from RNAcentral.
UGGGGAAUCUUGCGCAAUGGGCGAAAGCCUGACGCAGCAACGCCGCGUGGAGGACGAAGGCUUUCUGAGUUGUAAACUCCUUUCAGCAGGGACGAUUGUGACGGUACCUGCAGAAGAAGCACCGGCCAACUACGUGCCAGCAGCCGCGGUGAUACGUAGGGUGCAAGCGUUGUCCGGAUUUAUUGGGCGUAAAGAGCUCGUAGGCGGUUUGAUUAGUCGGGUGUGAAACCUCCAGGCUUAACCUGGAGCCGCCACUCGAUACUGUCAUGACUAGAAUUCGGUAGGGGACCACGGAAUUCCUGGUGUAGCGGUGAAAUGCGUAGAUAUCUGAAGGAACACCAGUGGCGAAAGCGGCUUCCUGGUCCAGUACCGACGUUCAGGCACGAAAGCGUGGGGAGCAAACAGGAUUAGAUACCCUGGUAGUCCACGCCAUAAACGAUGAGAACUAGACGUUGGGGGGGUAAGCCUCUCAGUGUCGCAGCUAACGCGCUAAGUUCUCCGCCUGGGGAGUACGGCCGCAAGGUUG